UUGUCCGGAAUUAUUGGGCGUAAAGGGUUCGUAGGCGGUUUGUCACGUCGGGAGUGAAAACUCGGGGCUUAACCCCGAGCCUGCUUCCGAUACGGGCUGACUAGAGGUAUGCAGGGGAGAACGGAAUCCCUGGUGUAGCGGUGAAAUGCGCAGAUAUCAGGAGGAACACCGGUGGCGAAGGCGGAUCUCUGGGCCUUACCUGACGCUCAGGCACGAAAGCUAGGGGAGCGAGCAGG
RNAcentral lists this ribosomal RNA (236 nucleotides) under uncultured bacterium. RNAcentral's name for it is "partial 16S ribosomal RNA". It matches the Rfam family "Bacterial small subunit ribosomal RNA", at positions 541 to 776 of the family's 1533-position model. The record is from RNAcentral.